RNA transcript from Glycine soja, 2775 nucleotides. It is a transcript of the gene named 2-isopropylmalate synthase 2, chloroplastic-like, with no coding region annotated. The record is from RefSeq and is a predicted model, not a curated record. The transcript is spliced from 7 exons. NCBI's taxonomy places the organism in Eukaryota, Viridiplantae, Streptophyta, Magnoliopsida, Fabales, Fabaceae.
AAUUACCAUGUGAUUCUCUCUCUGUGGCACUGAAACUCUCAGAAGAAUGGAAGUCAUUCUUCACAACAGGCGCAUCCACAGUAUCCCCACUUCUUCUAUCCCUUUCCCAUUCUCUCCCUCUCUGCCCCUUCCUCUUCAACCCUAACCCUAACUCUAAUUCCCUCUUCGUCCUCUUGUCUUCCCCCUCUCUCGUACCCUGUCUCCAUCUCCCUCCGCCUUCAUGACCUCGAGGGAGAAGUUGGACGUGGCGCGGCAGCUCGCCAAGCUGGGCGUUGACAUCAUCGAGGCCGGCUUCCCCGCCGCCUCCAUGGACGACUGUAAGGUCGUGAAAAUGAUCGCCCAAGGGUCGGCAAUGCCGUUGACGACGGCUACGUCCCCGCCAUCUGCGGCCUCUCCCGCUGCAACGAGAAGGACAUUUGAACUGCCUGGGAGGCCGUUAAGUACGCCAAGAGGCCCAGGAUUCACACCUUCAUCGCCACCAGCGCCCUUCACAUGGAGUACAAGUUGAGAAUGUCCAAAGACAAGGUCGUCGACAUUGCCCGCAAUAUGGUCAAGUUCGCUCGCAGUUUGGGUUGCGAUGACGUCGAGUUCAGUCCUGAAGAUGCUAGAAGGUCAGAUAGGGAGUUUUUUUAUGAAAUUCUCGGAGAAGUUAUUAAGGUCGAGGCCACCACGCUCAACAUACCUGACACUGUUGGUAUAACCAAGUCCAGUGAAUUUGGAAAGUUGAUUGCUGAUAUUCAAGCUAAUAACCCCGGAAUUGAAAAUGUUAUUAUUUCCAUCCACUGCCAGAAUGAUCUUGGACUUUCUACUGCAAACACUAUAGAGGGUGCGCGUGCUGGUGCAAGGCAACUGGAGGUGACGGAUUAAUGGGAUUGGUGAAAGGGCUAGAAAUGCCUCCCUAGAAGAGGUUGUGAUGGCCUUGAGAUGCGAAGCACAUGUCAAUGGCAAUCUCUACACUGGAAUUAAUGCAAAGCACAUCUUUCUGACAAGCAGGAUGGUCGAAGAGUACACUGGUUUGCGGGUACAGCCACACAAGGCUCUUGUGGGAGCUAAUGCCUUCGCCCAUGAAAGUGGCAUACAUUGGUUAUGUCAAAAUACAUAUAUCCUUGUAUAUCUAUGUAAUAGGACUUAGACCUUGGUACUUAACAUUGUAUAAUGUUCAAGUUUAUAAUUUGCGUGCAUAUGCCUGAAAUGAGUUUUCAAUAAGCAACAGCUGCACCUUUGCCUCCAACAUGUAUGCCCAAAUUACUGAUAAGAUGACAUGUCUUAGCAGAAGCUACUUAGAAUAUUGGCCAAAAAUCAAAGUUAGUUGCAUCAUGGGAUAAAAAGUGAGCCUUAGCACUAGGUUGCAGCCUUUUGACUUCAUGAUGAUGUUUUCUACUUGUGAAAACACUAUCUAUGCUCAUCUGUGUAAUGUUGGGUACAUCUAAUCCUCUCCAAAUCCUACAGUGAUGGGAGCCUCAUGCACUGGGCUUCACCACCCCUCCCCUCCUCCUCUUUUGUUUGUGCCUUGCAUUUGAAUCUUAUACAUAUUGCUAAAUUACUUUGAAUGUUUUGGUUUCCUAAAUUAAGAUAAAAAUGAUUUCUUCUUUGUGUGUGAUUAUACCAUCCUGAUCUAAAUUAGAUCAUUCCAUGAAUCCUUAUCCCAUAGGAGUAGCUUGAACAUGAUUUCUGUGUUUGAUUUUGAUUUUGCAACACAGAAAGAUAUGCUUGAUAAAUGUUAAGCAAUCUUUUUAAGCUUCAAUCAAACUGCCAUUUUAAGCUUUAAUCUUUUACAUAUAAAAAUUUAAUUUGUUCAUUUCCUUCACAUAAGAUACAGCCAAGCUUCAUUCUAUUUGUUUUUGUCCCUGGACGCAGCACCUUUCUUUUGUUCUGUUUUAGGUCCUUGUGCAUUUUACUUUUGGGAGAAUUCCAAAAAAGUUACUAUUCAUACAUAACAUGAAGGAAGAAUGAUUACUUGGUGUGGUUAUUCCAACCAAAAUUAACCAAAAUAAUAUGAUGACUAAAACCACUUUGGUGUUUUCUCUCCCUCUUCGUAUUAAAUAUUUUUAACACUAGUUCCUUACUUGAAAUCAUACCUUUUAUUUUUUUGGUGACUUAGCCUUAAGCCCUCAUAAAAACUGUCCUUUGAUUUCAGCCUUUUUUCUUCUUCAAAAACUGUUGUAGGAUGGAAUGCUAAAACACAAAGGUACAUAUGAAAUAAUAUCACCUGAGGACAUUGGACUUGAAAGAACCAAUGAAGUAGGUAUUGUACUGGGAAAGCUUAGCUUUCUGGACUUAUGUAAGUCCUCAUGGUACAAGCAUACCGGUUAUAUUUGAGUGAGUGCACAAGAAGUUGUCUGACUAUGGCAGGAUGAAACUCUGCGGAUAAUGAUGAUUCUUGGCCUGCUUUAUUUUGAUGCUCAGAAGCAUUCUACUUGUUCAUCCAUGCCUGGUGGUUGAUAUCAGUGGUUGCCAUGCUUUGAGAAAGCGACUUGAAGUUACUAUCACAGUACUUUUUGAGGAAGAUGGUUAUGUCUUGCAUGAGUGGCCCUGUAUAGGGGAAAAUCCCACUUGAAUUACGGACUUGAUCUGAGAAGAAUGUUUGAGGAUUAUUACUCUUCUCAUUCUUCUAGACUUCUAGUUAUUUUUCUUAUUUGUAUUUUAUUACUAUUUCAGUACGUUAUAUUUAAAUCCAUUCCCAUCUGAUUGGAUGAUCAUGAAUUACCUUCCUGCUUGUAUGGAUUAUACAUUAUUAUAGAUAUAUACUAGCUCUUACUUUCUUUGUGUUCUUCA